Molecule: long non-coding RNA, 224 nt
Filed under: Elaeis guineensis (African oil palm)
Lineage: Eukaryota; Viridiplantae; Streptophyta; Magnoliopsida; Arecales; Arecaceae
Description: long non-coding RNA (EGUI_LNC078422)
Source: RNAcentral
GUGCCAUAAAAAUCCCAUAUUAAAUUGGAUAUAAAUCAUAAGAGAUCAGGUUGAGAAAUUAAGGCAAUGCGUUAAGAUAAGAGUCUUCGUGAAGAAGGACUCUUCAUCUUUACAUGCUAAAAUGAGGGUGGUGGCAAUUAAUUUUUGGCAUGGCAUUUGGUGGGCAUAGAGGAAUCCUUCUCUACUUGAAACUGUUUCAAGUUGGAUAAGAAUCCAAUCAAGAU